RNAcentral lists this ribosomal RNA (302 nucleotides) under uncultured fungus. Its description in RNAcentral is "eukaryotic LSU rRNA". The stretch from base 1 to 52 matches the Rfam family "5.8S ribosomal RNA", at positions 103 to 154 of the family's 154-position model. Lineage: Eukaryota; Fungi. The record is from RNAcentral.
AACGCACCUUGCGCUCCUUGGUAUUCCGGGGAGCAUGCCUGUUUGAGUGUCGUGAAAUCAUCAUGGUCAUGAUCUUUAAUUAAUCAUGGCUUGGAUGUGGGGGUUUUGCUGGCUUCGUCAAGAGGUCGGCUCUCCUUAAAUGUAUUAGCUGGUGCCCCGUGUGGAGCGUCCAUUGGUGUGAUAAUUAUCUACGCCGUCGGAUGUCUGCUUUAAAGGGUGUGCGCUGCUUCUAACCGUCUAUUAAGUUGGACAAUCAAUGACAAUUUGACCUCAAAUCGGGUGAGACUACCCGCUGAACUUAA